GUUUUGCGGGGUGAGGAAAGUCCGGGCUCCACCGGAAAAGAUGCCGGAUAAUAACCGGGCGGGAGAAGGUAGCUGCAUACAAGGUGCAUAGCCCUUCUGCCGACAGAAAGUGCCACAGAAAAUAAACCGCCUGAAAGGGUAAGGGUGCAAAGGCGGGGUAAGAGCCCACCGCAUGUCUGGUAACAGAUAUGGCAUGGCAAACCUCAUCUGGAGCAAAGUCAAGCAGCAGUAACGUAAUCCGGGCGAAUUACUGCGGGUAGACUGCUAAAGCCGGCUGGCAACAGCCUGUUGGGAUAGAUGGCUAUGAGUGCUCUGCUGCCUCUGGUGACAGGGCAUGAGACAGAACCCGGCUUAUUGUCUUUUC
Molecule: RNase P RNA, 364 nt
Filed under: uncultured Treponema sp.
Lineage: Bacteria; Pseudomonadati; Spirochaetota; Spirochaetia; Treponematales; Treponemataceae
Description: Bacterial RNase P class A
Rfam family: Bacterial RNase P class A
About the family: Ribonuclease P (RNase P) is a ubiquitous endoribonuclease, found in archaea, bacteria and eukarya as well as chloroplasts and mitochondria. Its best characterised activity is the generation of mature 5'-ends of tRNAs by cleaving the 5'-leader elements of precursor-tRNAs. Cellular RNase Ps are ribonucleoproteins.
Source: RNAcentral